CAGUCGCCGCGGUAAUACGAAGGGGGCUAGCGUUGUUCGGAAUUACUGGGCGUAAAGCGCACGUAGGCGGAUAUUUAAGUCAGGGGUGAAAUCCCGCAGCUCAACUGCGGAACUGCCUUUGAUACUGGGUAUCUUGAGUAUGGAAGAGGUAAGUGGAAUUCCGAGUGUAGAGGUGAAAUUCGUAGAUAUUCGGAGGAACACCAGUGGCGAAGGCGGCUUACUGGUCCAUUACUGACGCUGAGGUGCGAAAGCAUGGGGAGCAAACAGGAUUAGAUACCCCGGUAGUCCCUGUCUCUUAUAC
Molecule: ribosomal RNA, 301 nt
Filed under: uncultured bacterium
Lineage: Bacteria
Description: partial 16S ribosomal RNA
Rfam family: Bacterial small subunit ribosomal RNA
Source: RNAcentral